RNAcentral lists this ribosomal RNA (305 nucleotides) under uncultured bacterium. RNAcentral describes it as "bacterial SSU rRNA". It matches the Rfam family "Bacterial small subunit ribosomal RNA", at positions 333 to 635 of the family's 1533-position model. The record is from RNAcentral.
CUGUUCCUACGGGGGGCAGCAGUGAGGAAUAUUGGUCAAUGGACGAGAGUCUGAACCAGCCAAGUAGCGUGAAGGAUGACUGCCCUAUGGGUUGUAAACUUCUUUUAUAAAGGAAUAAAACGAGGCACGUGUGCCUUUUUGCAUGUACUUUAUGAAUAAGGAUCGGCUAACUCCGUGCCAGCAGCCGCGGUAAUACGGAGGAUCCGAGCGUUAUCCGGAUUUAUUGGGUUUAAAGGGAGCGUAGAUGGGUUGUUAAGUCAGUUGUGAAUGUUGGCGGCUCCGCCGUAAAAUUGCAAUUGAUACUG